GCCUGAAAGAUUAUGUUAAUAAAAUCAAUGGUUUUUUUUUUACUAAAAACACAGGUGCUGGGCAACAUCUUAUUUUUUCUAACAUAAUCCUUCUCCUGUACAUCAAUCUUAUUAAAAUAAGUUCUCAUCACUUGCUCCUCGAUUUUAUAUGUCGCCGUGUGACAUAUAAAAAAUCGAGGAGCAAGUGAUUAGAACUUAUUCUAAUAAGAUUGCCUGUACAUGGACUUAUGUUAAACGCAGUUUAUAUGUGCAUGCCUCUCAAUUCUUUUUCAGUAUGUGAAGUAUAAGGAUCACAUAAGACUAUAGCAUCCUAGCAUUGGCCUACUCCAAACCUAUUUUUAUGUAUAUUCUAACCUUAACCUUAAUCCAAACCUACUGCUAGCGCUUAUCCUCUCCUAACCUGAAUGAUAUAACUAUAUAAGAAUGAAGGUCUUUAUAAAAA
This 442-nucleotide long non-coding RNA is filed under the name Mytilus galloprovincialis (Mediterranean mussel). Lineage: Eukaryota; Metazoa; Mollusca; Bivalvia; Mytilida; Mytilidae. The record is from RNAcentral.